CUUGAUAAUAGUCCCGAGUCAGUCGCAUUCGCACUCGCACUCGCACUCGCACUUGAAUUUGUACUCGGCCGUCUCAAGUGUUCUGUUUCACAGUUAUAAAUCAUAGUAUUAUGUGUAGUACAUUGUAUAUGCAUAUCGAAUAACGGUUUUUUGCGUGUUUUGCCAGCGAAACGAAGCAGCUGGCAAACGUGGAACUUACAAAACAACAGUUCGCAUCCGUGUGUGUUUUGUCUCUCUCUGCAGGCGAUUAUUUAAUUUAGCGUGAUUGGGCGAGAGGGAGAGAUCAAAAGAUAGUGUGAGAGAGAGAGAGAGAAGUGCGUGUGCCGGUGAGCCAAACCCUCUUUAAUUGUGCAAUGUGCCAGAACACGUUUUAAUCAAAGUCAAAGGUCAUUAUUAUUACAACUAUUAUCAUCGUAAUUAGCCGCCCCUAACAAAGUAACUGUGUGACCAGCAAGUUCAACGCUCAGCUGUUAUCGCUGCAACAGCAACAACAACAACAAUAACAACAACAAAAAUAAAUAUUCCAACUGUUAACGAGACUACAACAAGAACUACAAAAUGUGUUGCAUGCGCUAUUUGACGGAGACUCAUUUGAGGGGUUUCGAACGUUACAAGUACAGCAGCAUAGACACAAGUUUUCUCAGUGUCUAUGUUAUGCACCCCUUCUGGAAUGUCUGCGUAAAAUACGUUCCCAUGUGGAUGGCACCCAAUAUUCUCACAUUUGUGGGAUUUCUGAUGACCGUCGUGAAUUUCAUAUUGAUAGCUUAUUACGAUUGGAAUUUUGAUGCUGCCAAUGAUAAGUCUAUAGGGAAUACUGUACCUGGUUGGGUAUGGACUGUGGCUGCAAUUAACAUACUAAUCUAUUAUAAUUUGGAUGGCAUGGAUGGCAAGCAGGCGCGUCGUACGGGGACUAGCGGACCUUUGGGAGAGCUUUUUGAUCACGGAUUGGAUUCGUAUUCGGCAGCGCUUAUUCCCAUCUAUAUCUUUUCAUUAUUCGGCACGGUUGAUCUGCCGCCAAUACGCAUGUUUUUCGUUAUUUGGAACGUCUUUCUCAACUUUUAUUUUACACACGUUGAGAAGUAUAAUACAGGCGUUAUGUUUUUGCCUUGGGGUUACGACUUUACCAUGUGGGGAGUCAGCAUAAUGAUGUUUGUCGCCACUCUCGUUGGUCCAGAGAUUUAUCGCACCAGCUUCUACGAUAUAACUAUUGCAAACGUGUUCGAAGUGGGACUUAUUGGCUCUGGCAUGCUUUCCAGCCAUCCGAUUAUUAUAAGGAACAUCUAUUUAUCAUACAAAAAUAAGACGGGAAGAAUGCGUCCCCCAAUGGAAAUGCUCCGUCCAUUCUUUGCCUUCGUCUGGCUCUUUGUGAUCACCUUGAUCUGGUCGUUCUACUCGCGGAAUAAUGUAAUCAAUCUUGAACCUCGCGUACUCUGGAUGCUUUAUGGCACAAUCUUUUCGAAUAUUGCUUGCCGUCUAAUUGUCGCUCAAAUGUCAGAUACUCGCUGUGAUGCAUUCAAUAUACUUAUGUGGCCCUUGGCAGCCACUGUGGGAGUUUGCUGUUUUCCCUGGUAUGAAGAGGUCUUCGGCAUUGAUCUGACACCUCAAGGAGAACGCUGGCUCGUUCAUGGACUGACCAUAUUCUGCACAUUAGCACACUGGCAUUAUGGCUAUGGAGUGGUCACGGAAAUGUGUAAUCACUUCAAUAUCAAUUGUUUCAAAGUAAGAAAAACUCGCAGCGAUUCGGUUGAGAAAUUGUUACAUUCAUCGCAGAAUAAUAACAAAUUGUUGAAAACCCAUUGAAAACUAAUUGCAUACUAACCACAAAAUGAAACAUCGAAAAAGAAAACAAAUCAAAUCAACGACAAAAAGGGGUCACCAUUUUGUAUGUGAUAUAAUAAUAAUAUUUAUUUGGGUCUCACAAAAUUCAAUUUCGCCUCGCCAAAAAAACUGGUCUACACAUAUUUUUAAGCGAUCCCCAUACACAAUUCGAAAAGUUUUCAUGCGCCGCAUAAAAUUCUAUGAUUAAAAAACAACCAGUCAAUGCUGUGCAGGAACUUGCUGAUACCAAUGGCACGCAACCAGAAACGGAACCCGUUGAGGAAGUGUAGUGUAUGGAUUCCAUUUACCAUUAUUUUAGGCGCCAUUCUUAAGUACAGUUGUGUGUGUGUGAGCAUUUGCAAACUGUUUUUUGUUCUAGGUUAAGUUGAACUCGAACCAAAAAUGUAACUGUUAAGUACAAAAGAAAAAGAAAGCUUUCAUCUAUGUGCCUUAUUCAAGACCCAUUAAUGUAGGCAGCAAAAGCUUUCGCACGAAAGCUUUGUUUGGUUGCGUACUUGGUCCGCCAGAGGGCGUAUGUUUCUGAACUGUUUGUGCUGAAUAAAUUUCAUAAAUUGUAAAAUGAAUUUUGACGUUUUUCUAUUAAAUAUUAUAC
Molecule: RNA transcript, 2431 nt
Organism: Drosophila albomicans
Lineage: Eukaryota; Metazoa; Arthropoda; Insecta; Diptera; Drosophilidae
Gene name: ethanolaminephosphotransferase 1
Exons: 9
Source: RefSeq, a predicted model, not a curated record